RNAcentral lists this transfer RNA (73 nucleotides) under Oreochromis niloticus (Nile tilapia). It matches the Rfam family "tRNA". Rfam says of the family: Transfer RNA (tRNA) molecules are approximately 80 nucleotides in length. Their secondary structure includes four short double-helical elements and three loops (D, anti-codon, and T loops). The record is from Rfam by way of RNAcentral. Lineage: Eukaryota; Metazoa; Chordata; Actinopteri; Cichliformes; Cichlidae.
GGGGGUAUAGCUCAGGGGCAAAGCAGUUGACUGCAGAUCAAGAGGUUCCCUAGUUUAAUUCUGGGCACCCUGU